UACGUAGGGGGCAAGCGUUGUCCGGAUUUAUUGGGCGUAAAGAGCGUGUAGGCGGUCAGGUAGGUCCGUUGUGAAAACUCGAGGCUCAACCUCGAGACGCCGAUGGAAACCAUCUGACUAGAGUCCGGAAGAGGAGAGUGGAAUUCCUGGUGUAGCGGUGAAAUGCGCAGAUAUUAGGAAGAACACCCGUGGCUAAGGCGGCUCUCUAGUACGGUACUGACGCUGAGACGCGAAAGCGUGGGGAGCGAACAGG
This 253-nucleotide ribosomal RNA is filed under the name uncultured bacterium. RNAcentral's name for it is "partial 16S ribosomal RNA". It matches the Rfam family "Bacterial small subunit ribosomal RNA", at positions 524 to 776 of the family's 1533-position model. The record is from RNAcentral.